RNAcentral lists this ribosomal RNA (468 nucleotides) under uncultured bacterium. Its description in RNAcentral is "partial 16S ribosomal RNA". It matches the Rfam family "Bacterial small subunit ribosomal RNA", at positions 28 to 507 of the family's 1533-position model. The record is from RNAcentral.
GACGAACGCUGGCGGCGUGCUUAACACAUGCAAGUCGAACGGAAAGGCCCUGCUUUUGUGGGGUGCUCGAGUGGCGAACGGGUGAGUAACACGUGAGUAACCUGCCCUUGACUUUGGGAUAACUUCAGGAAACUGGGGCUAAUACCGGAUAGGAGCUCCUGCUGCAUGGUGGGGGUUGGAAAGUUUCGGCGGUUGGGGAUGGACUCGCGGCUUAUCAGCUUGUUGGUGGGGUAGCGGCUUACCAAGGCUUUGACGGGUAGCCGGCCUGCGAGUGUGACCGGCUACAUUGGGUCUCUGAUACGGCCCAGACUCCUCCGGGAGGAAGCAGUGCGGAAUAUUGCACAAUGGGCGGAAGCCUGAUGCAGCAACUCCGCGUGCUGGAUGACGGCCUUCGGGUUGUAAACCGCUUUCGCCUGUGACGAAGCGUGAGUGACGGUAAUGGGUACAGAAGCACCGGCUAACUACGUG